Molecule: ribosomal RNA, 398 nt
Filed under: uncultured bacterium
Lineage: Bacteria
Description: bacterial SSU rRNA
Rfam family: Bacterial small subunit ribosomal RNA
Source: RNAcentral
AUUGAACGCUGGCGGCAUGCUUUACACAUGCAAGUCGAACGGUAACAGGGUGCUUGCACCGCUGACGAGUGGCGAACGGGUGAGUAAUACAUCGGAAUGUACCCAGUAAUGGGGAUAACGCUUCGAAAGGAGUGCUAAUACCGCAUACGCCCUGAGGGGGAAAGUGGGGGACCGCAAGGCCUCACGUUAUUGGAGCAGCCGAUGGCUGAUUAGCUAGUUGGUGAGGUAAAGGCUCACCAAGGCGACGAUCGAGUAGCGGGUCUUAGAGGACGAUCCGCCACACUGGAACUGAGACACGGUCCAGACUCCUACGGGAGGCAGCAGUGGGGAAUCUUGGACAAUGGGCGAAAGCCUGAUCCAGCAAUGCCGCGUGCGUGAAGAAGGCCUCGGUUGGUAAG